RNAcentral lists this ribosomal RNA (561 nucleotides) under Burkholderia sp. R3-8. RNAcentral describes it as "bacterial SSU rRNA". It matches the Rfam family "Bacterial small subunit ribosomal RNA", at positions 137 to 692 of the family's 1533-position model. Lineage: Bacteria; Pseudomonadati; Pseudomonadota; Betaproteobacteria; Burkholderiales; Burkholderiaceae. The record is from RNAcentral.
UGGGGGAUAGCCCGGCGAAAGCCGGAUUAAUACCGCAUACGCUCUACGGAGGAAAGGGGGGGAUCUCAGGACCUCCCGCUACAGGGGCGGCCGAUGGCAGAUUAGCUAGUUGGUGGGGUAAAGGCCUACCAAGGCGACGAUCUGUAGCUGGUCUGAGAGGACGACCAGCCACACUGGGACUGAGACACGGCCCAGACUCCUACGGGAGGCAGCAGUGGGGAAUUUUGGACAAUGGGCGAAAGCCUGAUCCAGCAAUGCCGCGUGUGUGAAGAAGGCCUUCGGGUUGUAAAGCACUUUUGUCCGGAAAGAAAACCUUCCGCCCUAAUAUGGUGGGGGGAUGACGGUACCGGAAGAAUAAGCACCGGCUAACUACGUGCCAGCAGCCGCGGUAAUACGUAGGGUGCAAGCGUUAAUCGGAAUUACUGGGCGUAAAGCGUGCGCAGGCGGUCCGCUAAGACAGAUGUGAAAUCCCCGGGCUUAACCUGGGAACUGCAUUUGUGACUGGCGGGCUAGAGUAUGGCAGAGGGGGGUAGAAUUCCACGUGUAGCAGUGAAAUGCGUA